Molecule: transfer RNA, 49 nt
Filed under: Monsonia speciosa
Lineage: Eukaryota; Viridiplantae; Streptophyta; Magnoliopsida; Geraniales; Geraniaceae
Description: partial tRNA-Leu
Source: RNAcentral
AAUCCGUUGACCUUACAAGGUCGUGDGSGUUCAAGUCCCUCUACCCCCA